AGCAGCCGCGGUAAUUCCAGCUCCAAUAGCGUAUAUUAAAGUUGUUGCAGUUAAAAAGCUCGUAGUUGAAUUUCGGGAUCAGUACGCUGGUCGUGCCUUUGGUAUGUACUGGUGUCACUGAUUCCUCCCUUCUGAAGAACCGUUAUGCCAUUUAUUUGGUGUGGCGGGGAAUCAGGACUGUUACUUUGAAAAAAUUAGAGUGUUUAAAGCAGGCUCACGCUUGAAUACACUAGCAUGGAAUAAUGAAAUAGGACGUUUGAUUCUAUUUUGUUGGUUUCUAGGAUCGACGUAAUGAUUAAUAGGGAUAGUUGGGGGCAUUAGUAUUCAAUUGUCAGAGGUGAAAUUCUUGGAUUUAUUGAAGACUAACUACUGCGAAAGCAUUUGCCAAGGAUGUUUUCAUUAAUCAAGAACGAAAGUUAGGGGAUCGAAGACGAUCAGAUACCGUCGUAG
This 450-nucleotide ribosomal RNA is filed under the name uncultured Glomeromycotina. RNAcentral describes it as "SSU rRNA". It matches the Rfam family "Eukaryotic small subunit ribosomal RNA", at positions 569 to 1023 of the family's 1831-position model. The record is from RNAcentral. Lineage: Eukaryota; Fungi; Glomeromycota.